This is a long non-coding RNA of Nycticebus coucang (slow loris), 491 nucleotides long. RefSeq lists it as uncharacterized. The transcript is spliced from 2 exons. The record is from RefSeq and is a predicted model, not a curated record. Lineage: Eukaryota; Metazoa; Chordata; Mammalia; Primates; Lorisidae.
CUCGGAUCCGUUGCAGCGGAGCCCCCAGAAGCCCAGGCUCGAGCUUCUGACAAUAAAGGCUCUUUUGCUUUUGCAUCGGAAUCAGAUCCUUGGUGGUCUUUGGGGACUUCGUGAUCUGGGCAUAACAGUAGACAUCUAAUCUUCCAGAAAAAAAAGGACAGGAUAACAUCUAAUUCAACUAAAGUGCAGGCCGUUGGGAUGCGAGGAAGUGAAAGAUACAGAGCAGAGAGGCAGGCCCAGGCAAGUGGAAAGAACGUACGGUAUCAGUAAGUAAUCAGUGGCAGGCCUUCCGAAAUUUUCCUGGAAGAAGGUGACUCCGUUAUAUGCAAAAGGUAAAUAACCUUAACUUAACACUGCAUAUGUCCACAUGAGAAAUUUUUUGGAAAAUAACCAUGAGUGGCCUCAAAAUAAGAAACUGAUAUUCCAAUCCAUAUUGAUAAUUACUGGUCCAGAAAAUGUUGACAUCUUGUAUGUCAAAACAAACAAACAAA